AAGGAGUAGCCGUCAUCAGCAAUAAACAAUGGUGUAAAAUUUGUAGACCACUGAGAUAAGGAGAUCGAUGAAGUGAAACAUCCGACGACAUUGCCCCUUGUAUCAGAUUUUGGAGGCGCUUAGAGGGUCGCUUGGAUCUGUUGAUAUUGAAUAAGGUUCUCUUGGUGGGCACAAGUAGUCAGACAAUGAUCGGCAGACCAAUAGUUCCUGAUGCAGCAGUUCAUGCAGUUGUUGAAGAGCAUGUUAGCAUGGACACAAAUGAAGGUGGUCUUCGGUACAACGAUCAUAUUUAUCAUGAAAGAUUACCAUCAGACGAAGACGAAUCAGAAGAUGAAAUGUCAAUUUGGUUUGGUAAAUGCACAGAGGUAACUGCGCAUUCAAAGGAGGCAACGGGGAGUGGAAAACCGGCUGAAUCAACAGAACUGAGGCAAUCACCUGGUAUAGCACAAGAGGUCAAAACAUUACCUGAUGUUG
Long non-coding RNA from Rosa chinensis, 474 nucleotides. RefSeq lists it as uncharacterized. The transcript is spliced from 3 exons. NCBI's taxonomy places the organism in Eukaryota, Viridiplantae, Streptophyta, Magnoliopsida, Rosales, Rosaceae. The record is from RefSeq and is a predicted model, not a curated record.